ACGACAAUUGCAUGAAUGUAUAGACGAUAUGGUGGCGUAUAAGAAACUGGAUGAUACAAUCUUUCAGCGAAUAAUGUGGUCGACAGAACCAGAGUUACAAGGUGCCAGAGAUCUGAUUGAUAGAAUCCAGAAACGUCAGUUAUACAAAUGUGUUGGCUUGGCGCCGCGUCCCGAACAUCUAGAUAAGGAAGAGGAGAAGGAAGUGCUAAAAGAAAUCGCUAAAUUCGCUAAAUUAGAACCUGAAUGUCUCAGAUUGUCGCGUGUUCAUUAUGACUAUGGUAUGAAAAGUCAAGAUCCAGUUAGCCAUACCCGAUUUUACUCGAAAGACAAACCUAAUGUAUGUUUAGAACUCUGCCCAGAACAGGGCCCCCAGAUGCUUCCAAAGCAUUUUCAAGUAGAUAUGAUUCGUAUCUUCUGCACGGAUAGUACACCAAAAAUCAUAGAGGCGGCCAAAUCAGCUUUUGAACAAUGGUGUGAUGACAAAGGCGUGAAGCCUGAGGGUAUCAGAGGGGGAUUCAGAUUCCAGGAAGUUACCCAAAAGGUAUUCAUAAAAAUAAAUUUUUCACAUCUUAUAAAAACAAAAUGUUCACAUAACAAUUUGCA
This is a long non-coding RNA of Patella vulgata (common limpet), 603 nucleotides long. RefSeq lists it as uncharacterized. The record is from RefSeq and is a predicted model, not a curated record. The transcript is spliced from 5 exons. Lineage: Eukaryota; Metazoa; Mollusca; Gastropoda; Patellidae.